GGGGAUUUAGCUCAGUGGUUCCAGCACCUGCCUUGAAAGCGCAAGGUCCUGAGUUCGAUCCCCAGUACCCCCU
Non-coding RNA from Heterocephalus glaber (naked mole-rat), 73 nucleotides. The record is from Rfam. Lineage: Eukaryota; Metazoa; Chordata; Mammalia; Rodentia; Bathyergidae.